Sciurus carolinensis (gray squirrel) is the source of this 3755-nucleotide RNA transcript. It is a transcript of the gene named RIC8 guanine nucleotide exchange factor B, with no coding region annotated. NCBI's taxonomy places the organism in Eukaryota, Metazoa, Chordata, Mammalia, Rodentia, Sciuridae. The record is from RefSeq and is a predicted model, not a curated record. The transcript is spliced from 12 exons.
GAUGGGCGGGGAAAAGCCGGGUUGUUCUCGUCUGCUGAGAAUGAUUCAUAAAGGAGCGUCAGGACAGAACUGUUCUGCCCGUGAAAGCGCACUCAAAAGACUGGACUCUUCUCCGAGGCUGGGGGACGGAGGAGAGCAAGCAGGGUCCCGGGCCUGACCCCGCCUCAGGCCGCUCGCCGAGCCUCGGCCGAGAGCUGGGCCUUGUCGGGGGCGGCGGCGAGGCACGGGUUGCUUGGGGAGCGGUGACGUCGCAGGGUGAAAGUUGAGGGGCGGUGACGUCGGGCCUGCCCGGGCGGAGGCUGGCGGGUUUGGAGACUGGAGGGAGGGAGGGAAGGAGGGAAGGAAGGAAGCUGGGAAGGAGCGAGCGAGCGGGGGCGCGAGGCGUUUACCUGGAGGCAGCGGCUCGGGAGCGCAGAGCGGCCGCGGCUCCCCCGCACCUGCGGCCAUGGAUGAGGAGCGCGCCCUCUACAUCGUCCGGGCCGGCGAGGCGGGGGCUAUCGAGCGGGUCCUGAGGGAUUACAGCGACAAGCAUAGGGCUACUUUCAAAUUUGAAUCAACAGAUGAAGAUAAGAGAAAGAAACUCUGUGAAGGCAUAUUUAAAGUCCUUGUAAAAGACGUCCCAACAACAUGUCAAGUGUCCUGCCUGGAAGUACUCCGCAUUCUCUCCAGAGACAAAAAGAUUUUAGUUCCUGUAACAACUAAGGAAAACAUGCAGAUAUUGCUGAGACUAGCCAAGCUAAAUGAGUCGGAUGAUUCUUUGGAGAAGGUGUCAGAGUUCCCAGUUAUUGUGGAAUCAUUAAAGUGUCUAUGUAACAUUGUGUUCAACAGUCAGAUGGCACAGCAGCUCAGCCUGGAACUUAAUCUUGCUGCAAAGCUCUGUAACCUCUUGAGAAAGUGCAAGGACCGAAAAUUUAUCAAUGACAUUAAGUGCUUUGACUUGCGCUUGCUCUUUCUCCUGUCACUUUUGCACACUGACAUCAGGUCACAAUUGCGCUAUGAGCUCCAGGGACUACCGCUGCUAACCCAGAUCUUGGAAAGUGCCUUUAGCAUCAAGUGGACCGAUGAGUAUGAAUCGGCCAUAGAUCAUAAUGGACCUCCUCUCUCACCUCAGGAGACAGACUGUGCCAUUGAGGCCCUCAAAGCUCUCUUCAAUGUGACAGUAGACAGUUGGAAGGUGCAUAAAGAGAGUGACUCUCAUCAGUUCCGUGUCAUGGCAGCUGUCCUUCGCCAUUGUUUACUAAUCGUAGGUCCAACUGAAGACAAAACAGAAGAGUUGCACAGCAAUGCAGUCAACCUUUUAAGCAAUGUUCCGGUCUCUUGUUUGGAUGUUCUCAUUUGUCCAUUAACCCAUGAAGAAUCAGCCCAAGAGGCAACGACUUUAGAUGAACUGCCCAGUGAUAAAACAGCUGAGAAAGAAACAGUUUUGAAAAACAAUACCAUGGUAUACAAUGGUAUGAAUAUGGAAGCCAUUCAUGUUUUACUCAAUUUUAUGGAGAAGAGAAUAGACAAGGGAAGCAGCUAUAGAGAGGGUCUAACUCCAGUUCUCAGCUUAUUAACAGAAUGUUCCCGAGCCCAUCGAAACAUCAGAAAAUUUCUCAAAGAUCAGGUUUUACCACCAUUGAGGGAUGUGACAAAUCGACCUGAAGUUGGCUCAACUGUGAGAAAUAAGCUGGUGCGCCUCAUGACACAUGUUGACCUUGGAGUCAAGCAAAUUGCUGCUGAAUUCCUUUUUGUCCUUUGCAAAGAGAGAGUGGAUAGCCUGCUGAAAUACACUGGCUAUGGGAACGCCGCAGGACUGUUGGCGGCCAGGGGCCUCUUGGCUGGAGGAAGAGGAGAUAAUUGGUACUCAGAGGACGAGGACACAGACACUGAAGAAUACAAAAAUGCAAAACCAAACAUUAAUCUUAUCACUGGUCAUUUAGAGGAACCAAUGCCAAACCCCAUAGAUGAAAUGACAGAAGAACAAAAAGAAUAUGAAGCCAUGAAACUUGUCAACAUGCUUGAUAAACUUUCCAGACCCUGUCAUUAAUUCCAUGUGUCAAUACUGCCCUGUAGUACACAGAGCAGACAAGAAAGAAGAGCCCUUGAAAACAAGGGAAUGAUUUUUGAGUCGUUAUCAAGCUAAGUGGCAAGCGGGAAGCUGAAACUCGUAUAGUUGAACAUUCUUGGAGGCUUAUCUCUUCCCUGGCCAGAUGCCUGAUCAGAUGAGAAGCCCGCCAUGAUACUGUCACAGUGCCUAGAAUGGGCUCUUUAUCCAGUAGACAUCACUGUACUUUUUGAUGAUAACGAGGGCAGUCUUAACCUAUGUUAAGGCCUGUGUAUAGCAUUGAAGAGAGGAGUUGCUUAAACCAAUGGGACUAAAACCUGAUGGGACAAUAACGCCUUUGGAGGAAGCACUCAACCAGUACUCUGUCCUGGAGGAGACCAGCUCUGACACAGACUGAAAGCGUCACCUGCUCAGCUCUCAGUAUUGCUUUUAUCAGCAUCUUUUCUCUGUAGCUCCAGGGGAAUCUUUUCUCUAAAACAUUUAUGCCCUUGCUUUGGCUAGAAACACAUUAACUGGUUUACUCAUUGAGAAUCCAGCAUAUUUAAGAGGUGAUCCUGUGUUUUUGCGAUAUUGAGGCAUUCAUACAGAGCUGUAGUUAGGCAGAGUUACAGGGACUAGAAGCAGAAAAACAGUAAUUCCAUUUCAUCAGAUGGAACGAAGGACUUCAUUCUGUAAAGCAGCCCUGGCCAAAUCUGGCAGUUCUGUUUGCCAAGAUUCUUAACAGAAGAUUUAGCCAGGUCCUUCCUCACUUGUGUGAGCGGCCCCUUCUGAGUCUCCAGCAGCCAGAGGCGCAUGAGAGCAGAAUGAGCUAGUAAGUAAGGACGGAGGCAAGUGACUCCUUAGAUCAGUACUGACUAAAUGGAAGCCAGGCAGCUGCUCUGUAAAUCUAGCCCCACUCUUCAUUUCAGUUUUAUAUAAAUACAGAAGCACACACACAAACACACACAGAGCCCCCAGACUUACAAACUGGCUACACUAGAAGUUUGUAUGUCACUUAACUAAAACUUCAGCAUACAUUUCUCCCUGUAGGGAGUUAUGAAUGAUGGUUUAGUUUCCAGGCAGCUACAGAUGCCUGUUUAUUCCCUAAUGUACCUGAACACUAGUACUGCAGAAUAGAACCGGCCUAUAUACCAUGGCGUGGAGAGCGUGCAUUCUGAGGUCUGACUCGGGGUGCUGGCAACAUCUAUACCCUCCAUCCCAGCCAGGGCGGGGUCACUCCCUGACUAACAGGAGCUGUUCUGUGGCCUCUUCUGGUAGGAGAGUCAGAGGCAGCCAUCUGUACAUAAAGGUCAUUCAUACAUCAUGUUUUAAACUGGGGUCAGUGUGUAUGCUUGUGUGUGUGUAUUCUACCUUUCUACCAUAUUGAUCAGCUUAAUGGUAACUUUAUUUAUUUAAAAAAAAGGAAAGAAACACAAAUAGUUACCAUUAAACUGAUUAAGGCUGUUUAUUUUUACCAUUAGAAUUGGUCAUAUGAAGAUGUAGAGACGCCGUCAUGCCGUCGUAGACAGCGGGCCCAGCUAAUCAGUGGAUAAAGUUGGAAAGGGAUUGGUUUCCUUUGAUAUGUAUGUAUGUAUGUAUGUAUGUGGUGUGUGUAUGCACAUGCAUAUGUACAUAUGUAUACACACACAUAGAUAAUGUGCUUAACCACUGCCUUUUAAAACUUUAAAUUAAAUAAAACAUUGGGGUUGAUUCAAUUUAGCCAUCUGUG